Molecule: microRNA precursor, 128 nt
Filed under: Eutrema salsugineum
Lineage: Eukaryota; Viridiplantae; Streptophyta; Magnoliopsida; Brassicales; Brassicaceae
Description: MIR394 microRNA precursor family
Rfam family: MIR394 microRNA precursor family
Source: Rfam by way of RNAcentral
CUUACAGAUUUCUUUGGCAUUCUGUCCACCUCCUUCUAUGUAAAUAAGUGUAUCCUGUAUACCUGUAUAUAUGUAUGUAUUGUGUUUUAAAGAGGGAGGUGUGCAUACUGCCAAUAGACAUCUGUUAG